UUAAUUGAAGAGUUUGAUCAUGGCUCAGAUUGAACGCUGGCGGCAGGCCUAACACAUGCAAGUCGAGCGGCAGCACAGAGAAACUUGUUUCUCGGGUGGCGAGCGGCGGACGGGUGAGUAAUGCCUGGGAAAUUGCCCUGAUGUGGGGGAUAACCAUUGGAAACGAUGGCUAAUACCGCAUGAUGCCUACGGGCCAAAGAGGGGGACCUUCGGGCCUCUCGCGUCAGGAUAUGCCCAGGUGG
Molecule: ribosomal RNA, 242 nt
Filed under: Vibrio vulnificus
Lineage: Bacteria; Pseudomonadati; Pseudomonadota; Gammaproteobacteria; Vibrionales; Vibrionaceae
Description: partial 16S ribosomal RNA
Rfam family: Bacterial small subunit ribosomal RNA
Source: RNAcentral